GGGGCCAUAGCUCAAUGGUAGAGCAGCUGCCUCUUAAGCAGUUGGUUGGAGGUUCGAAUCCUCCUGGCCUCACCC
This 75-nucleotide transfer RNA is filed under the name Candidatus Amesiibacteriota bacterium. RNAcentral describes it as "Candidatus Amesbacteria bacterium (hot springs metagenome) tRNA-Lys". It matches the Rfam family "tRNA". From Rfam's summary of the family: Transfer RNA (tRNA) molecules are approximately 80 nucleotides in length. Their secondary structure includes four short double-helical elements and three loops (D, anti-codon, and T loops). The record is from RNAcentral. Lineage: Bacteria; Candidatus Amesiibacteriota.